RNAcentral lists this transfer RNA (94 nucleotides) under Streptomyces rimosus subsp. rimosus. RNAcentral describes it as "tRNA-Arg(tcg)". Lineage: Bacteria; Bacillati; Actinomycetota; Actinomycetes; Kitasatosporales; Streptomycetaceae. The record is from RNAcentral.
CGCCCGGCGCGGCGGUGGCGCUCGCGGUGCUUUUCGGGGGCGCGGCGGAGGACGGGACCGUACGGCCCGGCCGUUCCGUACGGUCCCGGUCGGC